Molecule: ribosomal RNA, 614 nt
Filed under: Auriscalpium orientale
Lineage: Eukaryota; Fungi; Basidiomycota; Agaricomycetes; Russulales; Auriscalpiaceae
Description: partial large subunit ribosomal RNA
Rfam family: Eukaryotic large subunit ribosomal RNA
Source: RNAcentral
GUGCUGGACCGUGUACAAGUCUCCUGGAACGGAGCGUCAUAGAGGGUGAGAAUCCCGUCUUUGACACGGACUACCAGUGCUCUGUGAUGCGCUCUCAAAGAGUCGAGUUGUUUGGGAAUGCAGCUCAAAAUGGGUGGUGAAUUCCAUCUAAAGCUAAAUAUUGGCGAGAGACCGAUAGCGAACAAGUACCGUGAGGGAAAGAUGAAAAGCACUUUGGAAAGAGAGUUAAACAGUACGUGAAAUUGUUGAAAGGGAAACGCUUGAAGUCAGUCGCGUUCCUCGAGACUCAGCCUUGCCUUAUGGUCGGGGUUCGCCCACGUUCGUGCUUAGGAUGCUGGCGUAAUGGCUUUAAACGACCCGUCUUGAAACACGGACCAAGGAGUCUAACAUGCCCGCGAGUGUUCGGGUGGAAAACCCGUGCGCGUAAUGAAAGUGAAAGUUGGGACCUCUGUCGUGGAGGGCACCGACGCCCGGACCAGACCUUCUGUGACGGAUCUGCGGUAGAGCGUGUAUGUUGGGACCCGAAAGAUGGUGAACUAUGCCUGAAUAGGGUGAAGCCAGAGGAAACUCUGGUGGAGGCUCGUAGCGAUUCUGACGUGCAAAUCGAUCGUCAA